This 1346-nucleotide ribosomal RNA is filed under the name uncultured bacterium. RNAcentral describes it as "bacterial SSU rRNA". It matches the Rfam family "Bacterial small subunit ribosomal RNA", at positions 28 to 1381 of the family's 1533-position model. The record is from RNAcentral.
GACGAACGCUUGCGGCGUGCUUAACACAUGCAAGUCGAACGGAAAGGCCCUGCUUUUGUGGGGUGCUCGAGUGGCGAACGGGUGAGUAACACGUGAGUAACCUGCCCUUGACUUUGGGAUAACUUCAGGAAACUGGGGCUAAUACCGGAUAGGAGCUCCUGCUGCAUGGUGGGGGUUGGAAAGUUUCGGCGGUUGGGGAUGGACUCGCGGCUUAUCAGCUUGUUGGUGGGGUAGUGGCUUACCAAGGCUUUGACGGGUAGCCGGCCUGAGAGGGUGACCGGCCACAUUGGGACUGAGAUACGGCCCAGACUCCUACGGGAGGCAGCAGUGGGGAAUAUUGCACAAUGGGCGGAAGCCUGAUGCAGCAACGCCGCGUGCGGGAUGACGGCCUUCGGGUUGUAAACCGCUUUCGCCUGUGACGAAGCGUGAGUGACGGUAAUGGGUAAAGAAGCACCGGCUAACUACGUGCCAGCAGCCGCGGUGAUACGUAGGGUGCGAGCGUUGUCCGGAUUUAUUGGGCGUAAAGGGCUCGUAGGUGGUUGAUCGCGUCGGAAGUGUAAUCUUGGGGCUUAACCCUGAGCGUGCUUUCGAUACGGGUUGACUUGAGGAAGGUAGGGGAGAAUGGAAUUCCUGGUGGAGCGGUGGAAUGCGCAGAUAUCAGGAGGAACACCAGUGGCGAAGGCGGUUCUCUGGGCCUUUCCUGACGCUGAGGAGCGAAAGCGUGGGGAGCGAACAGGCUUAGAUACCCUGGUAGUCCACGCUGUAAACGGUGGGUACUAGGUGUGGGGUCCAUUCCACGGGUUCCGUGCCGUAGCUAACGCUUUAAGUACCCCGCCUGGGGAGUACGGCCGCAAGGCUAAAACUCAAAGGAAUUGACGGGGCCCCGCACAAGCGGCGGAGCAUGCGGAUUAAUUCGAUGCAACGCGUAGAACCUUACCUGGGUUUGACAUGGAUCGGGAGUGCUCAGAGAUGGGUGUGCCUCUUUUGGGGUCGGUUCACAGGUGGUGCAUGCCUGUCGUCAGCUCGUGUCGUGAGAUGUUGGGUUAAGUCCCGCAACGAGCGCAACCCUUGUUCACUGUUGCCAGCACGUUAUGGUGGGGACUCAGUGGAGACCGCCGGGGUCAACUCGGAGGAAGGUGGGGAUGACGUCAAGUCCUCAUGCCCCUUAUGUCCAGGGCUUCACGCAUGCUACAAUGGCUGGUACAGAGAGUGGCGAGCCUGUGAGGGUGAGCGAAUCUCGGGAAGCCGGUCUCAGUUCGGAUUGGGGUCUGCAACUCGACCUCAUGAAGUCGGAGUCGCUAGUAAUCGCAGAUCAGCAACGCAGCGGUGAAUACGUUCCCGGGGCU